CUAUAACAACUUCACCUUAUUGAGGUUUUUGUAGGGCCUGCAAUUUCCAGGAUGACGCAACCAGAGGAGACCCAACGUUGGCGAAAAGGUGAGUAAUUCAUUUUUCUUGUGUGUGCAGAUGAGGUGUGGGGGUGGGGGGGGGGCAAAAUGUUCAGGGGCACUAGGACUGUAGAGUCAAUAAUGUCUGGAUGACAACUGCCCAAGGAUGGACAUGUAGGGGUGAGCAAAACAUAGCAAUACUGUUAAAUGGAAGUGGGUAGCUUACAAACAAACAAACAAACACAUACUUUAUAAUUACAUUAAAUCAAGUGUCCAAUGCAUUUUAUGUGUGCGAGUCUUGCAAGUAUAAAUGGAGGGGAGCCUAGCUUAUGAGUUCAAUGCAAGCGUAGGAUGUAUAAUUUAUUAAAGUUAAUUUAUACCUUCUUCUACGUUUAUAAUCCCCCAAAUCCCUCAUUUUAUUAACCUGUAUAUUCCCCUAUUCCUUCUUUCUUACACUGUCUAUAUAUGAUCCGAUGAUACACCUAUUAUAUUUUUAUUAUCCUUCGAAUUCUCGCUAUUCAAGUGUUAUAAAUGUUUAUAAAAUUUUUUUAGCAACACCAUUUCCUUAGUUAUAAUGACAUCUGCAGCCUGCAUAUUAUCUCUGAUAAUUGUUUUGUUUAUAUGCAUUUCUGCUACAUCAGAGAAAUUAUACGGUUUCUACUUGUUGAGGAAUGCUGGUUCUAUAAAAUAUUUGGGAAUUAUAAAAUAACAAAAUUAGCAAUAAGAAGAGAAGUGAUAAACAAGGGAAACAGCCGAGCAUUGUUCUUAAAUAUUUUAGGGGAAAAAACUCACCAAUCUUUUGACAGUGAAUUAUGACUCAACCAAACCUGUUCCCACAGGAACUAAAGACAGAUAUGGAUUUAAUGCCAGGUUUAGAUGUGUGAUGUCCUUUAGGUGGUACGUCUCAUCUCACACCGCACGUAAAACCUAUAGAACCCCAAAGAUCCACAAGAUUUCCACCGUCUUCGAAAAAUAAACUCUUCUCUUAGCAAAAUCUAACUUCCAGCAACUGUGCCUGGUUACCUCACUGAACUGUGCUCUCGUUUAGAAAGCUGUCAAACGUAUUUGUCAGUUUACUUUCUGUUUUUAAUCCUACCAAGAGCUGGUAAGUCUUACAGUCCUCUCGCUGAGCCAAUAGGUAUUUAGGGGUGGAGUGAAAGUUUUCAGACUGAAUACAUCCCAGCAAAAUAAAAAGAAGGAAAACAAAAAAUCUCUAUACCAGGAUUGACUGCAGGAAUUGUGAAUCACGAGAGAACUGCAGGACAAAACAAGCAAAACACAAAAGUCUUAAACAGAACACUUACAGAACUGUUUAACAUUGUAUCUUGCAAACAUACAAUUUAAAGUUUUGCUACUGCAAUAGAAUUAUAGUCGGCUACACAGAGUAAGGAAAGUCACCAUAGAAGGGCUGACAAGGGGGGAGGUCGGGCAAUUGCCCCCCCAGGCCACUAGCAUAGGACAGUAGUAAGAGGGGAGGGCGGGGGGCUGCAGCUUCGAACCAUUUCUCAGAAAAUUAUAAAAGCUGGAGGGUUGUUGGUGUGUCUGUCUGUCAACACAGUUCUGCAGGAGUGAGGCAGCAGCCAGGGGGAGUGCAAGCUUGCUAGCCUAGUACUAGGAUUUGUGCAUGAACUGGUGGCCAGGCCAGGACUGGCCCCUGGGAUAUUUCCUGGAGGACUGCAGUAUAUGAGACGGAGCAGGCUGCCGGGUCACGAUGAGCAUGAGAUAAAAACACUAAUAAUGACAUUUAUGAUAUACUUCACUUGUCAUACGUUGCAAUUGAGUCAAUGGGAAGUAAAGACAGUGUCGGGCAAGCACGGCCUCUUUGAUUGCUCGUUCAUACUAUGCAGAUUGGGUUUUGUGAGCUUCACCUGGCUCAAAAUCAGGGAAUUUAUACUUCAUAGCACUUUGAAGGCAGAUGCCUCCUAACCUCUUGCUCCUAACCAUAAAUACCCCUAUACUUAACCCUCUAAUAACAAAUCACUCAAAGAAUAACCAAGACUUAAAAUCUUUCCAAGCCUAAUAGUCUAUCCCAAACUGCUCCACCCUGCAUGCUGACAGGCACUUGUCCUCUAGGGGGCGCCUGUUUUUAAUAUUUAGAAUGUGCAUUUUUGGAGUUUAACCUCUUAAGGACACAUGCCAUUUGUGACAUGUCAUCAUUCCCUUUUAUUCCAGAAGUUUGGUCCUUAAGGGGUUAAAGGAACUCUAGAGGCAUUAUAACGAAGAUGAGAAGUAGUAGAGGCAGGGAGCGAUGCCAGGUGGAGCCAAAGUAGGAAUCAAAUCGUUCUAAAACAGUUUGACUACUUACAAUGGGGGUGCGAGGAGGUGUAGCCAUCCUACAUGGUUAUUGAGUAUUCCAUAUAUUCGUAUAACUGCAAUAUAAUUGUUGCUUCAACUUAUUCAUAACAUUUAAUAUGCACAUUUUUAAAGGAAUAGUUUUACCUGCAGACACUAAAACACCUGCAAUAUGUUUUUAUAUUGGAGUUUAUCACACCCAGAAAGAAAAACAUUGAGCCCAAUCACCAUGGAAACCAAAAGAACGUAUGUCGGCACUUAGCUCCCAGGAUACCACCUAUUUUGCUUUAAUAAGUCUCUUCCAACGAACAUUCUAAGUUUGAAAAUAUACUUAAAGGAACACUCCUGUCACUACAACAACGUAACUGAAAUUAAGAUGAUAUGGUUCCAGGAGGCCCCAGGCGCUUUCUCACCUAAAUGGGUUAAACUGUUUAUUUAUUUACAAAAAUAAAUGUAAAAAAGUUACGUACUUAACAGUAGCUAGCUCACCAUUCAUAAAAAUCAUGUAUACUUUUUAAAUGAACGGGGACCUACUGAUUGGCUUUGAGUGUCAGCUGACUGCUCUAGCCAAUCAGCGGCACGCCGCACUUCUUGAAGCUUAAUUACAGAAGCUGGAUGCCGCUGGGGGAACUGGAGAUCCGGCGCAGGAAAGAACCCUUGGGGUUAAAUCGUUCGCGAAUGGUUUAACCCUUCAGGUAAGAAAAAGCUCGGGGGCCUCCUGGCAGCAUGACAACUUAAUUGCAAUUAAAUUCAUUGGAUGAAUGGAGUGUUCUUUUAAUUAACAUCACUAAACUAUUUUUUGAAAGUUUUUUUUUUUUUUUUUUUACAUUCUGAACACGACUUAAGUCAUGGUUUUCUGUUUAAAAUAGCGUUUUCUUCUAUAAAUAUACUAUGCUUUAUAAUCAUUGCAGAUAUUUAAAGCUUUAAAAUAUUUUUCAAGAGAUGCCUGUGUUUUGUAUUAUAUGAGUGUUUUAAAGGGACAGUCCAGGGUUAAAGGGACACUAUAGUCACCAGAACAACUACAGCUUAUUGAAUUUGUUCUAGUGAGUAGAAUCAUUACCUUCAGGCUUUUUGCUGUAAACACUGUCUUUUCAUAGAAAAUGCAGUGUUUACAUUACAGCCUAGUGAUAACUUCACUGGCCACUCCUCAGAUGGCUGUUAGAGAUCCUUCCUGGGUCAUGGCUGCCUAAAAUGCAUCCAAACAUUCAGUAUCUCCUCCCUCUGCAUGCAGACACUGAACUUUCCUCAUAGAGAUUCAUUGAUUCAAUUCAUCUCUAUGAGGAGAUGCUGAUUGGCCAGGGCUGUGUUUGAAUUGUGCUGGCUCUGCCCCUGAUCUGCCUCUUUGUCAGUCUCAACCAAUCCUAUGGGGAAGCAUUGUGAUUGGAUCAGGCUACCACUUCUGAUGAUGUCAGCAGACUGCUUGUUUUUUCUGAGACAAACAGCACGCAGAUGUACAGCUUCAAGCUUGAAUACAGUAAGAUUUUGCUAUAUUUAUGGAGACAUGAGGGGCCAGGGGGGCUAGAUGGUGGUUUCAACACUACAGGGUCAGGAUUACAUGUUUGUGUUCCUGACCCUAUAUUGAUCCUUUAACUAACCCUUUCUGAAUGAAUUAUGUAACAAGUUUUGAAAGGAUUUGUUUUCCAGACAAUAACGUAUGACAUCACUCAUUUUCAAGUCACAUGCCUACACUUUACCUACAUUCUUAUUUUUGCGACUAUGUCUCUAAAGCACAGAUCUGGUCUACAACUCCUAGAAUUCUUUGAAUGCAAUAGAUGGCCAGAGAAUCAUGGGAAUUGAAGUUGAAGGCUUGCAUUUCCUUAAAGAAACACUAUAGGAUCAGCAACGAAACAUGUAUUCCUUAUGCUAUAGUGUUAAAAACACAAUCUUGUCCCCCUGCCCCCACCUUCACCCCUUGACUCCCUAAAUAUAGUAACAUUUUAUUUUUUCCAGUCAACUGCCUCUGCUGCUGAUCUGCCUGCUUGGCUGACAUCAUCAGAAGUUAUGAUCUGAGCCAAUCACAAUGCUUUUUCCAUAGGAAAGCAUUGGAUUGGCUGAGCUUGUCAAGGAGGGGCAGAGCCAACACAAGCCAAAUACAGGCUUGAUCAAUCAGCUUCUCCUUAUAGAGAUGAAUUGAAUCAAUGUAUUUCUAUGAGGAAAGUUCAGUGUCUUCAUGCAGAGGGUGGAGACACUGAAUGGCAGUCACACUGUGCAGCACUGCCCCAGGAAGCACCUCUAGCAGCCAUCUGAGGAGUGGCCAGUGGAGGUAUCCUUAGGCUGUAAUGUAAACACUGCAUUUUCUCUGAAAACACAGUGUUUACUGCAAAAAGCCUGAAGGGAAUGAUUCUACUCACCAGAACAAAUUCAAUAAGCUGUAGUUGUUCUGGUGACUAUAGUGUCCUUUGAAUAUUUUUAAUAACUUUGAGCAUGUGUAUUAAGACUGACUAAACAAUUUUGUUAUAAAGUUUACAUUUUAAGCCAACUGUCCUGAAAAAUUAGAAAAAUAAAUCACAUGAUGUGACAGUAAGCAAAUAGAAGUGAAGGUAAAGAUAUUGCAUGAUGUAGUAACCUAUGAAUCCAGUUUAUAUUCCACCAAUUGUUAAACAGUCUGAGAACUUCCAAAGUCUGAGUUACAAGAUCUUCGGCAAGCAGGCAUAAAGAGACACGACCUCAAAAAUAUUGUGUUACUGUAUUGUUAUUGUUAAUAAAGUGUCAUAAAGUCCAGGACUAACAAAUAAGUAUUUGCAACAGGACAAGUUGGAACUGAAGGUACUGAGGGCCCUGCUCAAAAGAGCUUACAUUCCAAGGGGAGUGCAGUAAAGUGACACGAGAGGUAAGGUUAAGAUGUAUUUCAUGGAAAAGUAGGUUGCUAGAAGAGUUUACUAUUUGUUUUGGAUGACGCAGGAAGGAAAGAUGGGUUUGUAAGGUAUGUGGAGGGAAAGUUUAUAACAGUUUAAUUGAUAUAUCUUCCUAAAAAGUUAGUUUAAAGUAAUUUUUUUAAGGACUAGAGACUGGGUGAGAGAGGAGAACAAGGACCUGAACUGAGCCCUCUAUCUUAUGGGAAGCCAACAUAAGGACUGACAGAGGACUGACGGAGGGGGGAAACGUGGGAUGACCAGAGGAGGUGGCUCACUACAGCAUUUAUUAUAGUUCGUUAUAGACUGUAGCUGGGAGAGCUGGGAAUGCGUAAGACCAGCCCGAAGCAGACUGCAGUAGUCAAGGUGGGGGUAGAUUGCCAAAUGUAAAUUCUCUGCAAAAAUAACUUCACUGCGCACUGCAUGCUGGCAACAGAUGUAAUCUGGUUCUUCACUUGCAGGCAACGCUGUGAGUGCACCUGCAAGUGAAGCCUUUGGAAUGUGAAUGAGUGUGUGUGCGAGUCUCAUAGAUGUCACUGAAUGAGCCCUCCCUCCACCAGUGUCCACUUUUCAUGUAAAAUAUUCCCUCUCCUUGUAAUAAUGCCAGCCCUUGCAUUCUGCCUCCCAACCUCAUUGAGAUUCCCUUCCCUUGUCCACCACCCCAUCCAUUCAUUUGAGCACUUGCAGCUCUCGCCACCAACACACCGAAGGCCAAUCAAAUGCUCUUCUAUGUCCAUAAAUCUGAAGUCCACACAUAUAGAACUCACAGUAUUACAUUGACCAAUCAAAAGCCUCUGUAACUGAAGCUUUGUCAAUUUGCUUGGUUAGGACCAAGUACAGAAAGUUGAACAAAUUCUUUAAAUAGUUUAGAAGAAUUUACCCCAAAAAAGAAAAAAAAAUACUCAACAGUCCACAGUCCAAAACAAGUUGUUUCAGAUGUGCAUUCUAAUAGAGGGUGUUUGACACCAAAUACUGUUUUGUUAAAAACACAAAUAUUGAUGUACAUUCAUGUUCUUGUAAAUGGUAAGCAAUAUAACACAUACUGCUAUAACUAUUAGACUUAAAAAACAGUGGGAUUGAUCAGGUUGGCUGAAUCAUUUUUCCCUAAAAUUUAAUUUUGUUUGGGAUGUCUGAUGCUCGCUCAUGUGAUGUUUCGGCUUUUGCUGAAUAGCAUGAAAAACAUUCAUGAAAAACUACAUCAGAAUAGCAUUGGCCAAACAAAAAAAAAAAGCACCCUUGCCCCUCCCCCCUCCCCCAUUGGUCACUUCUCACUUGAUCUCUGAAUGUAAUAAACAUUUAGUGAUUGUUCCCAAGCCAUCAAUCAUCUUUUCCCCCAUCAUUCAUUUCUGUUUUAGUGUCACAGGCUGAACUGCGAAUACCGAAUGUUUGGCCAUGGCGCUAGUCGUUUGCUUGGGUAUAAGUCCAUAUAGUGCUUUGGGGAGACAGAAUAUGGCCGAACAGUCAAUUGGUCCAAAUUCUAAUAUCUAUAGAUUUAAAGGAGAAACUCCAGGAACCAAAUGUAAAAAAAAAGGCAUCUGAUAGAUCACCUGCAAAUAAUAACCUAACGAUUUUCUGUAUUCCAGAUCCAAAUCUAAAUCCAAAUGCCAUAAUGCAAUAUUAUUUGUGUCCCACGUCGAAGGGGAAGGCUGGAGAUGACCUUAUGAAGAAAAUGAAUGGGACCAUAUAUAAAUGAAAAUGCUGUUCAGUACCAACAUAGGUAUAAGGGACAUGUCGGGGUGAAAAUUAAGGAAAAUAUUGAAGCUCAGUAUUUGCUUUGUUGAGUUUAAAUCUAUAGCAAGCUAUCUAGGAAAAAUGUUUUGAAAUCUGUCAUCUUAAGAAAAAUGCCAACAACACACACAUCAAAUAUUUAAGUAAUGCCCAUAAACAAACUGACGGGGAUGCGGAGUGUGAGCUCUGUGCACAAGAACAGCUAAGUUACAAGCUGCCGAAAUCUACUUUAGCUAUUGUUAAAAACGAGAGUUGGUAUUUAGUCCUGAGUGAAUCCUUUUGACAGUCCUGC
This 7203-nucleotide long non-coding RNA is filed under the name Pelobates cultripes (western spadefoot toad). Lineage: Eukaryota; Metazoa; Chordata; Amphibia; Anura; Pelobatidae. The record is from RNAcentral.